GAUGAAGAACGUAGCGAAAUGCGAUAAGUAAUGUGAAUUGCAGAAUUCAAUGAAUCAUCGAAUCUUUGAACGCACAUUGCGCCCCUUGGUAUUCCGAGGGGCAUGCCUAUUCGAGCGUCAUUAUCACCCCUCAAGCCUAGCUUGGUGUUGAGGCCUGCUGUCAAGGCAGCCUCUAAAAUCAGUGGCAGUGCUGUCAGGCUCUAAGCGUAGUAAAUCUAAUCGCUAUAGACACCUGGUGGACACUCGCCAGAACCCCCCCCCAUUUUUUAAUGAUUGACCUCGGAUUAGGUAGGGAUACCCGCUGAACUUAAGCAUAUCAAUAAGCGGAGGA
Molecule: unclassified non-coding RNA, 331 nt
Filed under: soil metagenome
Description: partial contains 5.8S ribosomal RNA, internal transcribed spacer 2, and large subunit ribosomal RNA
Rfam family: 5.8S ribosomal RNA (bases 1-120)
Source: RNAcentral